RNAcentral lists this long non-coding RNA (892 nucleotides) under Lactuca sativa (garden lettuce). RNAcentral describes it as "long non-coding RNA (LSAT_LNC003209)". The record is from RNAcentral. Lineage: Eukaryota; Viridiplantae; Streptophyta; Magnoliopsida; Asterales; Asteraceae.
GUGACGCCCUUACCGAGACCACUUACCACCCCUCCAGUGACCAACACGUACUUCAUUUAUGCUUUUAACUUCUUUUGGCUUUUGAGAGAGGAAUCAGAAGAAAGAAUUUCUAUUAUUCCAAAUGUACUCAGCUUCACUUUCAAUAAUCAUAUACCAACUUUAUUACUUAUUACUUCUUCUCAGCUACUAAAUUUACUUUUCACAAUAAUCUAAUCUAAUAGAUGCUGAUUGGUCCCUUCCCGGAUCACCCUGAAACAAACGCAUUAAAUUAAUGGAUCAAGAUUGUAUUUUUAUCAGCAUCUAUUUACCACUUUUCUUCAAAAUAUCAUCUUAAUUGAUCUACUACUUCACCAGAAACCUUGCAACAGAUUGUCAUAAACCCACAUAGAUAUUAACACAGAAAUCUUACACAACAACCACAGAAAUCAUUAUCACAUACGAAUUUUGGAUCUUCUAUUGUCAACAUAAAGCACACAGAUUACACCACAUUAAUCAUACAAGGUCUGAAGGUCUGCAUGCAUACAAUCAAUAACAUCAAUCUUGACAGAAUUUCAGACAAAAAACCAAAUCUUCACAGGAAUUACAUACCAGACCAGGAAUUCAGUAAGGAUUCAGAUUAACUAAUGUGCUUCAAACACUAAUUAGACACUAAUCGAACAACUAAGUGCAGCUGCUUCAUUGAAUCAGACAAGCAUACACUUGUACCGAACCAGAAAAAAAAUGACUUACCGGGAGAUCGGAGAAGACGAGACUAUAGCUGGUACGCCGUUGAUCGGAGGUUUGUAGGCGUAGGACGGAGAAAGGUCGGUGGUGAAGAAGAAGUGUGGAGGCUGCUUUGAACGCGGGGAGCGGUGAACGAGGUAUAGGUUUUGGGUAUAAAUGGAAUAUCUGU